CUGGCGGUAGGCUUAACACAUGCAAGUCGUGCGAGAAAGUAUCUUCGGAUAUGAGUAGAGCGGCGGACGGGUGAGUAACGCGUAGGAAUCUACCUAGUAGAAGGGGAUAGCCCGGGGAAACUCGGAUUAAUACCGUAUACCUCCUUCGGGAGAAAGAAGGCCUCUCUUUGAAGCUUUCGCUAUUAGAUGAGCCUGCGUAAGAUUAGCUUGUUGGUGAGGUAAAGGCUCACCAAGGCUACGAUCUUUAGCUGGUCUGAGAGGACGAUCAGCCACAUUGGGACUGAGACACGGCCCAGACUCCUACGGGAGGCAGCAGUGGGGAAUAUUGGACAAUGGGCGCAAGCCUGAUCCAGCCAUACCGCGUGUGUGAAGAAGGCCUUCGGGUUGUAAAGCACUUUAAGCAGGGAGAAAAAGUUAUAGGUUAAUACCCUAUGGCCCUGAUGUUACCUGCAGAAUAAGCACCGGCUAAUUCCGUGCCAGCAGCCGCGGUAAUACGGAAGGUGCAAGCGUUAAUCGGAAUUACUGGGCGUAAAGCGCGCGUAGGUGGUUUGUUAAGUUGGAUGUGAAAGCCCUGGGCUCAACCUAGGAACUGCAUCCAAAACUAACUCACUAGAGUACGAUAGAGGGAGGUAGAAUUCAUAGUGUAGCGGUGGAAUGCGUAGAUAUUAUGAAGAAUACCAGUGGCGAAGGCGGCCUCCUGGAUCUGUACUGACACUGAGGUGCGAAAGCGUGGGUAGCGAACAGGAUUAGAUACCCUGGUAGUCCACGCCGUAAACGAUGACAACUAGCUGUUGGGAGACUAUGUCUU
RNAcentral lists this ribosomal RNA (808 nucleotides) under marine metagenome. RNAcentral's name for it is "bacterial SSU rRNA". It matches the Rfam family "Bacterial small subunit ribosomal RNA", at positions 36 to 839 of the family's 1533-position model. The record is from RNAcentral.